CCUACGGGAGGCAGCAGUGAGGAAUAUUGGUCAAUGGGCGCGAGCCUGAACCAGCCAAGUAGCGGGAAGGAUGACUGCCCUACGGGUUGUAAACUUCUGUUAUAAAGGAAUAAAGUGAGGCACGUGUGCCUUUUUGUAUGUACUUUAUGAAUAAGGAUCGGCUAACUCCGUGCCAGCAGCCGCGGUAAUACGGAGGAUCCGAGCGUUAUCCGGAUUUCUUGGGUUUAAAGGGAGCGUAGAUGGGUUGGUAAGUCCGUGGUGAAAGUUUGCGGCUCAACCGUAAAAUUGCAAUUGAUACUGGCAGCCUUUCGUACAGUUGAGGUAGGCGGACUUCGUGGU
This 339-nucleotide ribosomal RNA is filed under the name uncultured bacterium. RNAcentral describes it as "partial 16S ribosomal RNA". It matches the Rfam family "Bacterial small subunit ribosomal RNA", at positions 338 to 674 of the family's 1533-position model. The record is from RNAcentral.